Molecule: small RNA, 79 nt
Filed under: Sinorhizobium meliloti 2011
Lineage: Bacteria; Pseudomonadati; Pseudomonadota; Alphaproteobacteria; Hyphomicrobiales; Rhizobiaceae
Description: putative ncRNA
Source: RNAcentral
AGCGGUAUCGGCGACAUCGAUGAACCUCGAGCCCACGAGCAUGUCGUAGAGCUCGUCAGUGACGAGCUGGCGCAGAGGC